This 5234-nucleotide long non-coding RNA is filed under the name Oryza brachyantha (malo sina). RNAcentral's name for it is "long non-coding RNA (OBRA_LNC002084)". The record is from RNAcentral. Lineage: Eukaryota; Viridiplantae; Streptophyta; Magnoliopsida; Poales; Poaceae.
CAAUACAGUGAAAAAAGAACAAAGUGGUGUUCGUCGCCAGAGUGUGUAUUUUCAGUGUAUAUUUUCUCUUGUUUGCUGCUCGUGUGUGUGUACACUCGCGUGAGUCUUUGCCGGAGAUCGUAAGUCGCUCCCCGGUAGUUUGAUUCCUGGGCUAAGCCAACAACUGCCACUAGAGGGUGGGGCGAAGGCGAAGGCAGUUGAGGUAAGGAGUGGGUAGAUUUGAGAAAUUUGGGUUUUAGCUACUGCUACCUCCGUUUUCAUAAGAUUUUUGAUUUUUUUUCGGUAAUAUUUGACUAUUCAUCUUAUUUAAAAAUUUAGUAUAAAUAUAAAAAAUAAUAAGUUGUGCUUAAAGUUCUUUUGAUAAUAAAGUAAGUCACAAGCAAAAUAAAUGAUAUUUUUAACCAAAAAAUUCAAACAUCUUAUGUUAUGAAACGAAUGGAGUAGUAAAUAUUCGCUCAAUUAAUGUGCUAAUUGGCCUAUUAGACUAAGUAUGUGCUCAUUCCUUCUCCUUUGGGCCUCGUGGAUUCCUUGCAUGUUAGAUGGCACUCCUGGCCCUGGCCCUUAAUGUAUGGGUCACUGUCCGGGCCUGGGCGGCUGGGCCCGAAGGAAGAAAGUGCUAACACUAAUUUUUUGAAGUUUAUUUAUUAAAUAAUUUACAAAUUUAAUUUUGGAUUUCAAAAAAUCAUAAAACUAACCUCCUACCGCUCUUUAGGAGGACGGAAAGGUGACGUGCAAACGGCCGGCAACGGUGGCACGGAAAAUUUUUCAUUUUGGUCCUUUCCACCCUUACAGAGGAUGGAAAUGGGAAAACUACAAAAAUGUUGCGUGUGUCCGGGAAUUUUUCUUUUCGAUUGAAUCGCGGUUUGAUAAUAUAUGUAUAAUGUAUGUACUUAUCUAAUCACAACUACUAUCUUAGCAUAGUGGUUAGUGUUCCCCUCUUCCUUCAAGAAGACUAGAGGUCGCGAAUCCUAUAAGAGCAUAUUUUCUUCUAUUUUUGUUAACCCAAGAAAAAAUUUGCUCUGACGGGGAUUCGACCUCAGGGUUCCCCUUACCCCGCAACCCACCAAAACUGCGGAUACCGCACGGCAACUACAAAAACCGUGAUGAAUUUAAAUCCAAAAAAAUUGAAUUUAAACUCGCGCGGUUUUCACGGCUUACCACGUGGUUUGCCGUGGUAACCACGGUAACUACUUGCUGGAACAACACAUGAGAACGGCGGUUACCGUGGCUUCCCGCGUGGUUUUUUAGCCGAAACGUGGUUACCGCGAGGAGACCACGGGUGUGAUGUCAAAUGCAAAAAAAACUUUAAAAAAUCUAAAAAAAUACAUGAAAAAUAGAAAAAUAUUUUGUGACUAUAUUUAUAACAUAGGAAAAAUAGGACAUGUUAUAGGGAAAACAAGAAAAGUUUUACAUGAUAUUUUCUAAAUUCUUAAUAUUGCAGCAUACAAACAUACACUGUCAUAUCACCUUUCAUCAAAUAAUUCAUACCAAUAACUUCAUUUUGAUUGAUGCGUCACAACUAUACCUACUAUCCAUUAUUACUUAUAAAACUAUUAUGUGUACUAAGAUGCAUGUAUAAUUUUUCUCUAUACAUAUUUUCCAUAUAUCCAUCGUUAUAUAUUUAUAUUUCAACAUUAUGUACCCUAGUGUCUAGUGUAAGUAAUAAUGACCCAACACAAAAUAUUGUUGACCAUCUUCCUAUGAAAUAUUACUUGCAAUAGGCUAUUUUUUAAUUUUUGUUUCCCGAAAUACUCGUUUAUGAUUUUUAGUUACGUCGGGAAUAUAUUUUUUCAUUUUCUUUGACAAAACUACACUAUAUAUCAACAUAUACAACAUAUAUUUUUUUCAUUAAAUUUUCUCAAAUUUUUUAAAUUCUCCUAAAAUUUAAACUCGGUUACAGCGGCUUACUGAAGCCGUGCCUCCGCGGAGGACGCGGUUAACCGUGGUAACGUAAACCCUGUUCGACCUCUAGUCUCCUAGGUAGAAAAGGAGGAUAGCAAACACUUAGCCACCAAAGCAUUUGUGACUAAUUAAUUACAUACGUUAUACAUAUAUAUCAAACUGCGGUUCAAUUCAAGAAUUCCCAAUUCAUUUGAAAAAUUCCAAACGUGUGCUACACUUUUGUAGUUUGCCCCUUGCGGAAAGGACCUAAAUGAAACGUUCACCAUGUCACUGUUGCCGGCCGUCCCUCACGGCCGAGCGGCCGUUUGCCACGUCACCUUCCGUCCUCCUGGAGGGCGGCAGGAGGUUAGUUUUGUGGUUUUUUAAAAUUCAAAAAAUUCGUGCUAAACAAUAUAUAUAUAUAUAUAUAUAUAUAUAUAUAUAUAUAUAUAUAUAUAUAUAUAUAUAUAUAUAUAUAUAUAUAAGACCAAUCCUAUCUGCACAUGCACAGGGGUUGAAGAGUAACAGUAACCGAACAACAAAACCUGUUAGCGGAAAUAAAAUAUACCUCUAAUAUAGAUAAAGUUUGUUGUCAGUCUAUAUGUUGCCUUGCUGCCGAAAACCACCCACAAGAAAGAAUGCAACUUUGACAAAACUGUUAAAUAUAGAUUAACUUUGAUAAUAUAUUAAGACGUGUCUAUAAAGUGUAUACAAAACACUCUGCUCCCUCUCAAAAGUAAGCCCUACAUGGCUAGCGUUUCUACCUUACAAAAGUUCUAUUUUUAUGGACUCAAGUAUCAACCUAUCUUAAAUUUAUACUUAUAUUGUCCCACUAGAACUCAAUGCCAUGUAUUCCAAACCAAUUACUUCCUCCAUAUUUUUUUUAUGAUACCGUUAAUUUUUAUAUUUAUAUGUGAUCAUUCAUCUUAUUUAAAAAAUUUAUCCAAAUAUACAAAAUUAUAUAUCAUACUUAAAAUUCUCAUAAUAAUAAAUCAAAUUAUAAUAAAAUAAUUAAUAAUUAUAUAAUUUUUUGAAAUAAGAUAAAUGGUGAAACGUAAAUAUAAAAGUCAAUAUAUCUUAUAAAAAACAUAGAGAGAGUUUUAAUUAUAAUAGCAAAACGUACAGAUAACCAUCGGUACAUCAGCUGUACUGUGGACUCCUUUGCACGUACCAACGCGUACGCGUCCACGUUCAGGCUGAAUCCUGCUCGAUUUCCUGCGAGUGCCUCCUGUAGUGUGUCGCUGAUACGGUCCUGUGUACAUACAUACGAAUGUCCAACUCCUGAUUAUACCCUAACGACCGGCCACCGUACGUACACGGAUAGCCUUCGGCCUUGAGUCCACACGUACAUGUGUUGCAUGUUGACUCCGGUCAACAGUACUAGAACAUAGCACACUGUAGCACCAUAUAUGCGCUCCAAUGUUUCUCGAUCCGUUCUUCAAUUUUCUGCACGACUUUUGCUGCACUUGCACACAUAAUUACGUGAAACCCGUUAUAAAGGGGUGAUUUUUUUUUAGAAAAAAAUAAUCCAUGUAAAAUACUUAUAUAUACAUAUUAUUAGUGGUUUAAAAGUCAAGGCUGGAAACCAAAGUACGAUGGAAAAAACAUCUAAAAUCUACUCUAAAUUUAAGAUUAAAAAUUUAAAUUUUAGCUUUCAAGCAUAAACAUAAGGUUAACAGAUUAAAAUCUUCUUGUAGAAGAUGUAAGAGUGCAAUAUGUUACCAUCAAUUUCAUUAUUAUUACAUUAAGACACUAUUGGGUAAGGGGUAAUUGUUUGGCUUUAUUUAUAAAAAAGUCAAACGACAUAUUUGGAAGUAAAAAAUAAUUUAUGAAUAAAAAUUUUAUUUACGUUGUGAGAUAUCUAUAUUAGGGGUAUCUGUAGACUACAUGUAUACAUACGGUCAUAGGGAUACCGAAUAGAAAUAUGUACUGGAUCGACUGGGAGUUCGGUAACUGAUGGAUUACAUACCGUAAAAGUAUCGGGUUAGACCGUAUCCUAGAAUAGACCUCUAAGUCUAUUCCCCGCUAUAUAACGGGGUACGUGGCACUCCUAAGAGAAGACAGAGGACACGCGAUCAUACAUAACCAAAUACAACCUUAGCAGGAGUAGUUAUUAUCUCAUUAGCUGAGAGCAUGAACAUGAGUAACCUCUGCCUUUAUCCUAACCAUCGACUACACCGUCUUUUAGCCAUCCUAUAGUUUAUUGCUAACCCAGAUCAUCGACAUACGUAUUUUUAGUGAUUUAAAAGCUAAGGCUGAAAAAUAAACUUAGAUGAAAAAACUCUAAAAUCAACUCUAAAUUUAAAGUGAAAAUUUUAAAUUUUGGCUUAUAACAGAAACAGAAGUGAGAAAAUUAGUGUGCAUGAUGAGGGUGGUAUUAUAUACUUUUAUCUUUGGGAUUAUAGAAUAUUGGCCUACCAACUUGAAAAGGCACUAAUUAUAGCCGAUAUAAUGCCUAGAGUUAACUUGAUCUGUGCCAUUGCAAUUAUACAUAUUUAGAUAAAUGUUAUUAUAAUUUGUCUAUUCGUAACCAUGUCACUCAAAUUUUAUAAAAUUAAAACCAUGCUAUUGUCAUCAUGUUUUUUAUUUUUUUUCUCAUUUACAAGUGGGAUCCAUCCAUCGAAUUCAUCUUCUUCCCCUCUUCACUUUUCCCACCCCUCUCUCUCUCUCCACCGGUGGACUUGCACAGGCAGAUAGCACAGUCGAAGGAGUCCUUGCCAUCCACGCCGCCGCUGCCACCCACGCAGUCGAGCGAGUCCUUGCUGCUCGAGCGGCGGCUGGCACAUCAAGUUGCUCAUUUUUCACGUCCCGGCGCAAAUUAAGAAUCAAACAAGAACAUAUCCAAACCAAAAAAAGACUGCCAUUAUACACUCUACGAUCUAAAGCUCGAAUUUUUCUAAAGACACGAUAUAAUCUUGCUGUGAUGAGCUAGGGGCAGGAGAAGGAUCUUGGCAUGGCAGCCCCUGCCAACGAGCCGCUGUAGAUUCGUCUGCAGAAGGACAAACGACAAGAGCUGAGAUGGUGGCGACGGAAGAAAAGAAAAGAGCAGUAGCAGUUGCACAUUCAGGGGAAGGGAAGCUUCAUGUCUCAAGGCCCGUUCGAUUGUGCCGCCUGCCCAUGUGAGUUUGCCGGUGGAAAGAGGGGGAAUGUAAAGAUGGGAGAGAAGAAGAUGAAUAUGACAGCUGGGCCUCACAUGUUGAUAAGGAAAGAGAUGAAAAACGUGACGACGAUGACAUGAUUUUAAUUUUAUAAAAUUUAAAUAUCAUAUCUAUAUACAGACGAUGAAUUGUAAUGGCAUUUCUCUGAAUAAGUAUAGUUACAAUGGCAGAAUCAAAUUAACCCUUCGAUUUAAG